UACUCCUAACGGUGAUGAUGUGCUUA
Molecule: non-coding RNA, 26 nt
Filed under: Rattus norvegicus (Norway rat)
Lineage: Eukaryota; Metazoa; Chordata; Mammalia; Rodentia; Muridae
Source: RNAcentral